This is a long non-coding RNA of Alosa alosa (allis shad), 757 nucleotides long. RefSeq lists it as uncharacterized. The record is from RefSeq and is a predicted model, not a curated record. Lineage: Eukaryota; Metazoa; Chordata; Actinopteri; Clupeiformes; Clupeidae. The transcript is spliced from 3 exons.
GGAGUUGAGUGGGACUUGUCUGUCCUCAGGAGAUGCUAGUAAGCUGUAGGCAACUGUGAGAGGAGUGGAUGGCACUUCAGGAGGCUUCCUGCUGUUUCUCUCAGCUUUGCACGUCUACACACCUCCCCACUCACAUGAUACAGAGGUCAGAUGCCAGAGGUGGGAGGGAGGAUGGACGGAUUCCAGCUUUCCAGAAGCAGCAUGCUGUGCUGAGUGGAACGGUCCUAUGGAGGUGGUAGUGUGCAACUCGGCUUAGGCAGCCCUGAAUGGAGUGGAGGAAGAGGACAUCUAUCGGUCUGAGGCCAGCAAGAAGAGAAACGUGGUGGGGAGGACAGGAAUGAAGGAAGGAAGAAAACAGAAGGCCCUGUAAAGUAGCUUAGUUGUCACUUGCUAGCAAUGCAGUCUUUGACGUCAGUCUUAGACAUAAUGUCAGUGACUAGUUAUCUUUUUGACACUGACUCCCAUUUUGGCUCUGAAUCCUCUUAUCCGACUCAGUUCCGCCUUCCACCUUGAAGCCCCAGAAACGAAUGAAUUCCUUCUUCUGCCAAACACUGUCCUGCAUGUCACACCCUUCCACACAUACCUCACAGAUCACCUACACAACAUGGACUCUACCAUCUGAACACAAAAUAAAGCUUUCUCCAACACACCCUUCUCCAUAGUGGUACAUGCCAUUGACAUCUCCUGUUGUAUGGUUGUUAGGGAACAACAGAAAAGAAGAGACUGACUGUAUGCAUUUAAUAAAGAAUGACAUGAC